AGAGUUUGAUCCUGGCUCAGAACGAACGCUGGCGGCAGGCUUAACACAUGCAAGUCGAACGUGAAGCAGGAGCUUGCUCCUGUGGAAAGUGGCAGACGGGUGAGUAACGCGUGGGAAUUUACCCAGUGGUUCGGAAUAACGCAGGGAAACUUGUGCUAAUACCGGAUACGCCCUUCGGGGGAAAGAUUUAUCGCCAUUGGAUGAGCCCGCGUCGGAUUAGCUUGUUGGUGAGGUAAAAGCUCACCAAGGCGACGAUCCGUAGCUGGUCUGAGAGGAUGAUCAGCCACACUGGGACUGAGACACGGCCCAGACUCCUACGGGAGGCAGCAGUGGGGAAUAUUGCGCAAUGGAGGAAACUCUGACGCAGCCAUGCCGCGUGAGUGAAGAAGGCCUUAGGGUUGUAAAACUCUUUCACCGGUGAAGAUAAUGACGGUAGCCGGAGAAGAAGCCCCGGCCAACUCCGUGCCAGCAGCCGCGGUAAUACGGAGGGGGCUAGCGUUGUUCGGAUUUACUGGGCGUAAAGCGCGCGUAGGCGGGCUGGUUAGUUGGGGGUGAAAUCC
RNAcentral lists this ribosomal RNA (560 nucleotides) under uncultured deep-sea bacterium. RNAcentral describes it as "bacterial SSU rRNA". It matches the Rfam family "Bacterial small subunit ribosomal RNA", at positions 8 to 602 of the family's 1533-position model. The record is from RNAcentral.